This 775-nucleotide ribosomal RNA is filed under the name uncultured Neocallimastigales. RNAcentral describes it as "partial large subunit ribosomal RNA". It matches the Rfam family "Eukaryotic large subunit ribosomal RNA", at positions 22 to 616 of the family's 3401-position model. Lineage: Eukaryota; Fungi; Neocallimastigomycota; Neocallimastigomycetes; Neocallimastigales. The record is from RNAcentral.
UCUAUACAUGACUCUGCGCAUAUCAAUAAGCGGAGGAAAAGAAACUAACAAGGAUUCCCCUAGUAACGGCGAGUGAAGCGGGAAGAGCUCAAAUUUGAAAUCUUAAAGGGUUUCCCUUUACGAAUUGUAGUUUAAAGAAGUGUUUUCUGUUGAGGUUUUGGUAAAAGUUCUUUGGAAUAGGACAUCAUAGAGGGUGAGAAUCCCGUAUUUGACCUUUACUUUCAACUUUGUGAUACACUUUCAAAGAGUCGGAUUGUUUGGGAAUGCAGUCCAAAAUGGGUGGUAAAUUUCAUCUAAAGCUAAAUAUUGGCGAGAGACCGAUAGCGAACAAGUACCGUGAGGGAAAGAUGAAAAGAACUUUGAAAAGAGAGUUAAACAGUACGUGAAAUUGUCAAAAGGGAAGCGCUUGACACCAGUGUUGUUUUUCUGAAAAUCAAUUAAAGAACUGUUUAUGCUAAGUUGUUUAGACUUUAUCAGCUAACUGUUUAGUUUUGAGCUUUUCUUUAAUGCACUUUUCAGUUAACAAGUCAACAUCAAUUUCUUUUGCUGUAAAAAAGCUUGAGGAAGGUGGCUUGAGAUUCGUCUUAAGUGUUUAUAGCCUCUUGCCUAUGCAGUCGGAGAGAUUGAGGUCUGCAGCGUAGAUCCUUCGGGGCUAAAUGCAUUUGUGCUAAGUUAUAGCAUUUUAUAGACAACUUGUUGACUAUGAUUUGUCUUGUAGCUUACUCGCUUAUGUUAUUUUACCUACGCUUAGGAUGUUGAGCGCAUGUCUCUCUCU